CCUACGGGAGGCAGCAGUGGGGAAUAUUGCACAAUGGGGGAAACCCUGAUGCAGCAACGCCGCGUGAAGGAAGACGGUUUUCGGAUUGUAAACUUCUGUUCUUAGUGACGAAUAAUGACGGUAGCGAAGGAGCAAGCCACUGCUAACUACGUGCCAGCAGCCGCGGUCAUACGUAGGUGGCAAGCGUUGUCCGGAAUUACUGGGUGUAAAGGGAGCGCAGGCGGGAAGACAAGUCAGCUGUGAAAACUACGGGGUUAACUUGUAGACUGCAGUUGAAACUGGUUUUCUUGAGUGAAGUAGAGGUAGGCGGAAUUCGGAGUGUAGCGGUGAAAUGCGUAGAUAGUCGGAGGAACACCGGUGGCGAAGGCGGCCAACUGGGCUUUAACUGACGCUGAGGCUCGAAAGUGUGGGGAGCAAACAGGAUUAGAUACCCGUGUAGUC
RNAcentral lists this ribosomal RNA (441 nucleotides) under uncultured bacterium. RNAcentral describes it as "partial 16S ribosomal RNA". It matches the Rfam family "Bacterial small subunit ribosomal RNA", at positions 338 to 795 of the family's 1533-position model. The record is from RNAcentral.